This 789-nucleotide ribosomal RNA is filed under the name Rhizobium sp. BAB-4428. RNAcentral describes it as "bacterial SSU rRNA". It matches the Rfam family "Bacterial small subunit ribosomal RNA", at positions 34 to 873 of the family's 1533-position model. Lineage: Bacteria; Pseudomonadati; Pseudomonadota; Alphaproteobacteria; Hyphomicrobiales; Rhizobiaceae. The record is from RNAcentral.
CGCUGGCGGCAGGCUUAACACAUGCAAGUCGAACGCCCCGCAAGGGGAGUGGCAGACGGGUGAGUAACGCGUGGGAACAUACCCUUUCCUGCGGAAUAGCUCCGGGAAACUGGAAUUAAUACCGCAUACGCCCUACGGGGGAAAGAUUUAUCGGGGAAGGAUUGGCCCGCGUUGGAUUAGCUAGUUGGUGGGGUAAAGGCCUACCAAGGCGACGAUCCAUAGCUGGUCUGAGAGGAUGAUCAGCCACAUUGGGACUGAGACACGGCCCAAACUCCUACGGGAGGCAGCAGUGGGGAAUAUUGGACAAUGGGCGCAAGCCUGAUCCAGCCAUGCCGCGUGAGUGAUGAAGGCCUUAGGGUUGUAAAGCUCUUUCACCGAUGAAGAUAAUGACGGUAGUCGGAGAAGAAGCCCCGGCUAACUUCGUGCCAGCAGCCGCGGUAAUACGAAGGGGGCUAGCGUUGUUCGGAAUUACUGGGCGUAAAGCGCACGUAGGCGGAUAUUUAAGUCAGGGGUGAAAUCCCGCAGCUCAACUGCGGAACUGCCUUUGAUACUGGGUAUCUUGAGUAUGGAAGAGGUAAGUGGAAUUCCGAGUGUAGAGGUGAAAUUCGUAGAUAUUCGGAGGAACACCAGUGGCGAAGGCGGCUUACUGGUCCAUUACUGACGCUGAGGUGCGAAAGCGUGGGGAGCAAACAGGAUUAGAUACCCUGGUAGUUCACGCCGUAAACGAUGAAUGUUAGCCGUCGGGCAGUAUACUGUUCGGUGGCGCAGCUAACGCAUAAACAUCCCGCC